GGCUUGAAAUGCAGGUGCAGCUGGACUUUUAUCUGAGCUAAAAGCAUAUCUAUUUAGUCCUCGUCAAACAGGAUUAUUACUAUUGCUGCAGCUAACAUAAAGGAUAAUUGUCCUCAUUGCUGACUGAUGCAGGAUUUUACGACACUUUAUGUGUUGUUCAACUCGAUCUCAAAUCAAGUAAGACUACCCGCUGAACUUAA
Molecule: unclassified non-coding RNA, 200 nt
Filed under: Mortierellales sp.
Lineage: Eukaryota; Fungi; Mortierellomycota
Also listed under: 1 other name
Description: partial contains internal transcribed spacer 2 and large subunit ribosomal RNA
Source: RNAcentral